This 429-nucleotide ribosomal RNA is filed under the name Chloroflexota bacterium. RNAcentral's name for it is "Chloroflexi bacterium partial 16S ribosomal RNA". It matches the Rfam family "Bacterial small subunit ribosomal RNA", at positions 355 to 776 of the family's 1533-position model. The record is from RNAcentral. Lineage: Bacteria; Bacillati; Chloroflexota.
UGGGGAAUAUUGCACAAUGGGCGCAAGCCUGAUGCAGCCAUGCCGCGUGUGUGAAGAAGGCCUUCGGGUUGUAAAGCACUUUCAGCGGGGAGGAAGGCGUUAAGGUUAAUAACCUUGGCGAUUGACGUUACCCGCAGAAGAAGCACCGGCUAACUCCGUGCCAGCAGCCGCGGUAAUACGGAGGGUGCAAGCGUUAAUCGGAAUUACUGGGCGUAAAGCGCACGCAGGCGGUCUGUCAAGUCGGAUGUGAAAUCCCCGGGCUCAACCUGGGAGCUGCAUUCGAAACUGGCAGGCUAGAGUCUUGUAGAGGGGGGUAGAAUUCCAGGUGUAGCGGUGAAAUGCGUAGAGAUCUGGAGGAAUCCCGGUGGCGAAGGCGGCCCCCUGGACAAAGACUGACGCUCAGGUGCGAAAGCGUGGGGAGCAAACAGG